UUAAUCAGUUCCAGCAACAUCAAUUUCUGAGAUCACUCGCUAAAUAAGACUGAUCUCAAUUUUUGUACUCAGUUAUCAAUAUUAGGAGAUUCAGUUGUUCAGUAUCUCAGUAUUAAUAGUGAGUUCAGAUGACAGUAAGGUGGUAUUCGAGUUUCAGUAUUUUGAGUCACGAUGAUUUCAAUUAUGAUUUAUGCAUUCAUGCAUGUGUUCUCAUUCAGUACUCUCAUGAUUAUUCAGUUAAGUAAUUGUUCAUGCAUAAGCCCUUGUAUUUAGCCUUACCUCAUCUUCAUACAUGGUACAUUCUCGUACUGAUGCAUUUACGCUAUGGUAUUUUAUUUGACACCAUAGGUUCAGAGGCAUGAGAUCUAGAGUACCCCCAGCAGCUCAGUCCCAGUCAGCAGCAGUAGGUGUAGCAGUGAGUCCUCUUCAUUCGAGGAUGAUCCUUAGUUUAUUUGCUUCAGAUCUGGUUUAAUUUUAGUAGACGAAGUUAUUUGGGGACAUGUCCCAUCAACUCUAUUGUUUAGACAGUUCAGAGGC
Molecule: long non-coding RNA, 537 nt
Filed under: Capsicum annuum
Lineage: Eukaryota; Viridiplantae; Streptophyta; Magnoliopsida; Solanales; Solanaceae
Description: long non-coding RNA (CANN_LNC004774)
Source: RNAcentral